UCGAGAAUUUUUCUCAAUGGGGGAAACCCUGAAGGAGCGACGCCGCGUGGAGGAUGAAGGUCUUCGGAUUGUAAACUCCUGUCAUUAGAGAACAAGGUGCAAGGGAGUAACUGCCUUUGCAUUGAUAGUAUCUGAAGAGGAAGAGACGGCUAACUCUGUGCCAGCAGCCGCGGUAAUACAGAGGUCUCAAGCGUUGUUCGGAUUCAUUGGGCGUAAAGGGUGCGUAGGUGGCGCUGUAAGUCAGGUGUGAAAUCUCGGGGCUCAACCCCGAAACUGCACUUGAUACUGCAGUGCUCGAGGACUGGAGAGGAGAUCGGAAUUCAUGGUGUAGCAGUGAAAUGCGUAGAUAUCAUGAGGAAGACCAGUGGCGAAGGCGGAUCUCUGGACAGUUCCUGACACUGAGGCACGAAGGCCAGGGGAGCAAACGG
RNAcentral lists this ribosomal RNA (428 nucleotides) under uncultured bacterium. Its description in RNAcentral is "bacterial SSU rRNA". It matches the Rfam family "Bacterial small subunit ribosomal RNA", at positions 355 to 775 of the family's 1533-position model. The record is from RNAcentral.